CACGUAGGCGGAUACUUAAGUCAGGGGUGAAAUCCCGGGGCUCAACCCCGGAACUGCCUUUGAUACUGGGUAUCUCGAGUUCGAGAGAGGUGAGUGGAAUUCCGAGUGUAGAGGUGAAAUUCGUAGAUAUUCGGAGGAACACCAGUGGCGAAGGCGGCUCACUGGCUCGAUACUGACGCUGAGGUGCGAAAGCGUGGGGAGCAAACA
Molecule: ribosomal RNA, 207 nt
Filed under: uncultured bacterium
Lineage: Bacteria
Description: partial 16S ribosomal RNA
Rfam family: Bacterial small subunit ribosomal RNA
Source: RNAcentral